This 484-nucleotide ribosomal RNA is filed under the name uncultured bacterium. RNAcentral's name for it is "partial 16S ribosomal RNA". It matches the Rfam family "Bacterial small subunit ribosomal RNA", at positions 29 to 523 of the family's 1533-position model. The record is from RNAcentral.
AGUGAACGCUGGCGGCGUGCUUAACACAUGCAAGUCGAACGAGAACGGGUUAUAGCUUGCUAUAAUUGUCAGCUAAGUGGCGCACGGGUGAGUAAUGUAUAGGUAAUAUGCCUCUUACUAAGGGAUAACAAAUGGAAACGUUUGCUAAUACCUUAUACUCCUUAUUAACAGAAGUUAAUAAGGGAAAGAUUUAUUGGUAAGAGAUUAGCCUGUAUUGUAUCAGUUAGUUGGUGGGGUAAUGGCUUACCAAGACUAUGACACAUGACUGGCUUGAGAGGAUGAUCAGUCACACUGGAACUGAGACACGGUCCAGACUCCUACGGGAGGCAGCAGUGGGGAAUAUUGCACAAUGGACAAAAGUCUGAUGCAGCAACGCCGCGUGGAGGAUGACACAUUUCGGUGCGUAAACUCCUUUUAUAUGAGAAGAUAAUGACGGUAUUAUAUGAAUAAGCACCGGCUAACUCCGUGCCAGCCGCCGCCGUAA